This 468-nucleotide ribosomal RNA is filed under the name uncultured bacterium. RNAcentral's name for it is "partial 16S ribosomal RNA". It matches the Rfam family "Bacterial small subunit ribosomal RNA", at positions 28 to 507 of the family's 1533-position model. The record is from RNAcentral.
GACGAACGCUGGCGGCGUGCCUAACACAUGCAAGUCGAACGGAAAGGCCCUGCUUUUGUUGGGUGCUCGAGUGGCGAACGGGUGAGUAACACGUGGGUAACCUGCCCUGUACUUUGGGAUAACUUCAGGAAACUGGGGCUAAUACCGCAUAGGAGCUCCUGCUGCAUGGUGGGGGUUGGAAAGUUUCGGCGGUUGGGGUUGGACUCGGGGCUUCUCAGCUUGUUGGUGGGGUAGUGGCUUACGAAGGCUUUGACGGGUAGCCGGCCUGAGAGGGUGACCGGCCACAUUGGGACUGAGAUACGGCCCAGAGUCAUACGGGAGGCAGCAGUGGGGAAUAUUGCAAAAUGGGCGGAAGCAUGAUGCAGCAACGCCGCGUGCGGGAUGACGGCCUUAGGGUUAUAAACCGCUUUAGCCUGUGACGAAGCGUGAGUGACGGUAAUGGGUAAAGAAGCAACGGCUAACUACGUG